Molecule: long non-coding RNA, 7640 nt
Filed under: Prunus persica (peach)
Lineage: Eukaryota; Viridiplantae; Streptophyta; Magnoliopsida; Rosales; Rosaceae
Description: long non-coding RNA (PPER_LNC003776)
Source: RNAcentral
UGCAUGCAUGGUUUUAUCCUUCUCAAAACCGUUCAUAAAAAUUUACAAAUGCAGUAGAGGAUCGAGGAAUUCAAACCAUAAAUGCAGUUCCCUAUGGAGAGCUGAAAAUGCAGGGGUGAUCUUUGGUUCCAGGAAUAAAUAGUGAAACCAUUCUUCAACGAAAUGCUCACAGAGCUUCUAAACCAAUGAUUAUCCCCUCUUUCCCUAAUAACCAACAUAAGACAUCUAAACCAAAUGAAGAAAUGCUUUUACUAUCUAAACUAUCAACUCUCACUCACAUCACAUACCGAUGCUCAAAUGAAUUAUUACCACAAAGCCUUUCCCUAGCAUUGGUCAGUAGUAACACAAGCACAUUAAUCAUUUCCCUCUCUUUUCAACUUCUGACAUGUCAAAAAGAGAACAUUUCGUAAACAUACGCAGCCCGCACGCAAGCACACAGUCCUACACUACAUAUAUAUGUCCAUGAUUUUCUCAUAUUAGAAUCCUCUGAGAUGAGUGCCAGACUUUGUGCUAGGACCACCAACACAGUGCUAGCUGACCUCCCUCUUCCCUCGUCAUAUCAUCCUUGUAAUCCUGUUUAAGCAUCGAUUGAGCCGCUUGGUUGUUCGCACCAAUCACUGCAGCCUUCCAGCCAGCAUAGUUUCCACUAGGGUCACUCAAGUAAAGUUGAAAACCGAAAUUCUUGUCCCCAACCCGCAAACAAAAAUGAAACACCAAAGGGCCGGAGACCACCAAACUGUGUGUAGCCCUGCUUAGUAUCACAAAGAGAUUGAACAAGCUGCUCAACGGGCAUUGGUUCUUGGUACGCAAACAUAUAGCGCUGAGCCUGGACCCUAGAAGUGUUUAUCAGGAUGUUGGCAUCAGACAUUAUGCCAGCCACAGCACAAGCAACAUGAUCAUAAAUCUUGUGUUGGAUAUUUAUUCAUUAUUGUUAUUUGAUUUAUUUAGUUAAUUUGCUUCUGCUAAUAAUCCCUAUUUACCAGGAAACAUGGUUAGUGUUUGACCUGAUCUUUAGGAGAAUCCCAAUAGUCUAGGGUUGUUAGACGUGAGAUAUUUUGUUGCUUAAUUUUCUGAUUACUUGUUCCCUGUACGACUAUUUAUGCCAGUCUUUGGAGUCAAUGAAUGAUAGAACAUUCACUCAGACUUUCGCACUCUUUAGCUUUCAAAGUUCUAGUUCUUAACAUCUUGUACAUUUUCUCAGUGGAAGUUGUGGAGUGGAGGAGUUUGGAUGUGACUUUCUUCUCACCAACUAAGAUAACCCCAUCUUUUGACAAAAUCCCAAUUGCAGUACCCGCAUUUCCAAUGGCCUCCAUUGCAUACUCAACUUGGUAGAGACGACCCUCAGGGGAAAAGAUGGUUGUACGGCUAUCAUAUCUCCUAGACAUCUUUGAUAAUAACUGUGAACGUUUGUGAAAUAAUGGUAUUAAAUUUUAUCAUUUUUUUCUUCUGAGAUAAUGGUAUUCAAUUUAUAUAAGAUGAAACAAGGGAAACCCAGAAAUCCAAAUAUGAACACAGUUAAAAAUUCCAACAGCUCAAGGUUUUCUACAAUCCAACAAAGCCAAAUAGCAUCAAUUGGGUAGCAUACAUAUGUGAAAUACUGAAAAAUCACAAAUCAGAUGCAAUAAACAUUAAAAUUAAUAAUAAUCACAAGACGCAAAUUAAAAAUGAACUUGGUCGAAAUUGAGACAAUGUAAGCAGCCCCAUCGCACAAACUAAUUGAAAUGACAAUCAUACAAGAAUACGGGCCUUACCCAGUUUCGCUUGCUCUCUCUUGGUUCAGAUGCUUGACAAAGUUUACGCCUUUUGCCGCCUACUCAGCUCUCAGCUCCCUAUUCUAGUAUUCUUCUUCUUCCUCCCCAAGAAAUAACCAAGGCUUUGUUUGCUCUGGCAUCCGGGGCUCCGAGUAGGGGCCUUUGUAGAAAUUGGGUCAAAACUCUGAGGCCGAAAGUAUCGGCCUUUUUUUACACGGGUAGCCCAAACAUUGUUGCUUGCGCAGGUAACCCAAUAAUAUUCAAUUGUCUAGGCUCAACUAUUUCAGUGGACCGGAGUGUUUUUUAGGUCGAAAGUGGACCGGAGUUAAGUCCAGAUAUUUGAGGUAAAUCUUUUAGGGCUCGUUUGGUACGUCGGACUGUACUGACUAAUUUUCGUCGGAUAGUAUUAAUUUAUUUCGGAGAGUACUGACUAUUUAUCCAUAAUAUUAUAAGGCGUUUGGUGCUGUUCCGGAUAAAUAAUUUGACUAAGUUAUACUGUGUUUGGUGAUGUUUCAGAUAACAUCAUAUCAGACUAUUUAUAAAUAAAAAAAAUAUAAAAUUUUUUUUGAUAAUUUUAAUGGAAAUUGAGAUUCAAAUGACACAAAUUUUUUUUGGUAAGAUUCAUAUGACAAUAUUUGUUUUUCAAUUGUUUUUGCCAAGAUUUUUUUUCAUAUAACCCAUUAUCAUAAUUGUAGUAUCUCAUAAAAAUUCCAACAUACUCGCAUACGUUAAUAAAAACAGUAUCAAAUAAUGUAUAAUUCAAAGUGAUCACAUAUUAAGGUAAUAAGAGCAAAAGAGAAAGUUGUUCAUAAACCAAACUACAUCAAAGAGUGAAUCACAACUCCCUCGCCUCAAGUAAGAGAAAAACAAAUGCUUUUCUCAUAGCACCAUCCACUGUCAGGAAUAUUUUUUUUAUCAUUUGCUUUCUCCAAAAUUAGCCGUAGUGCCUUAAUUUGGUCAUUAAUAGACAAGUCCAUCUUUGCUUUUCUAAUAACAAUUGACAAAGAAAAAAAAAUGGUUCUUAGAAUUCAGUUUCAUACAUUUUUAAUUUUAUAAUUUUGCUCUUCUAGUCGUCAGGUAUGUAUGUAUUCAACUAAACUACCAAUACUAGCACAGUUGUUUGUUUUUGGAUGAAAACUGGCAAUACUCUGUUUAAUACCAACAAUCUAAAUAUUCCCACAACGUCGAAUCACUAUAUCACAUACAAAAAAAACAUUCGAUUAAAAAAAGUACCAAAAAAAAAAAAUUCAUAACCUAAUUUCUACUAAAAAUUUGAAAUAUAUAAAGCAUAUUGGAGAGAGUAUGAAAAAAGAGAGAAAGUGAGUGAUGGAUACCUGGAGAAGAGUGAAGAAAAUAACAUGUGGAGAAGAUAGUAGAGAACAACCCUAGGGAGAAGAAGAUGAAAAGAGCAUCUGAUUUUUUUUGUAGAACUCGUGUUCUUUUUCCCUAGCCUUAUAAUUAAGCGUGUAUUAUCUAAACCGGGGUGUGUGGGUUGUAUUAGUUAGUUAGGUAAGGAGAGUAUUAAAAGCCCAACCCGUAUAAAAUAGUCGGGUAAUUAAAUAAUACAAGUUGACACCAAACACCUGACAUAGACUAUUUACUCAUAUCCAGAGUCUAAUACGAUGUACCAAACGAGCCCUUAGCUGUUAUAAAAUAAUCUGGAAUACGUGCGAAUAUUGAGCUGCACGUAAAGUAGAUGAGACACAGUAUUUAGCGAGGUUCGGCUAUGCCUACAUCCCCGGAGAGCAGCAGUAGUAACUUUUCCACUAUGUAAAAUAAUAGGGCUACAACUUUAGAGUUUACAAUAUGUGAGGCUCACUGAAUUUUCUCUCUGCUCACUCACCCUAUUUCUUCCUUCUCUUCCUCCUUUCUCUUUCUUCUCUCUUUCCUUCUUUCCUUUUCUUCUCUCUUUCCUCCUUUCCUUUUCUUCUCCCCGUUUCCUAUCUCUUUCUCUCUUCUUCUUUUCCUCUUCUCUUUCUCUCUUCUUCUUUCUCUAUUUAUAGACAUGUUAAAUGGCACCCGUGUUUCUACAAUACACAUCCGUGAGUGUGCAGCCAAAUACUUUGCUUAAUUUUCUUUGUGGGCCCCAUAAAUGUGGGCUCCACAUGUUUCUUCUUUACAACAUUAGCAAUUUCUUUUGGAGAAAAAAGAGAGGGAAAGCCAAGGAAAGAGAAAUUUUUAAAGAAGUCAAAUGGACAAAUGCCUUGUGAUAUAUAGGUUAAAUUGUAGCUAUGGUUUCUGAAAUAUAGUCCGAGUUGUAUUUUCAUCUUUCAACUUCAAAAAUAGGUGUUUUCCAAUAGGUCUUGCAUUGCAGCGUUUAUCCUUUACGUCAAGUCUGUCUAAUUUACCUCUCAAAAAGUCAACUAAAUUGAUAAUUGUAUACCUCAAAUUGAUGGAAUUUAACGAAAUGACCAAUUUGACAUAUGUGAGAGAGUUGGAGGAUGAGUAAAACUAAAAAAAUUAGUUGAAUGAUCAAAAUGAAACCGGGUAUGACCAUUCGAUNNNNNNNNNNNNNNNNNNNNNNNNNNNNNNNNNNNNNNNNNNNNNNNNNNNNNNNNNNNNNNNNNNNNNNNNNNNNNNNNNNNNNNNNNNNNNNNNNNNNNNNNNNNNNNNNNNNNNNNNNNNNNNNNNNNNNNNNNNNNNNNNNNNNNNNNNNNNNNNNNNNNNNNNNNNNNNNNNNNNNNNNNNNNNNNNNNNNNNNNNNNNNNNNNNNNNNNNNNNNNNNNNNNNNNNNNNNNNNNNNNNNNNNNNNNNNNNNNNNNNNNNNNNNNNNNNNNNNNNNNNNNNNNNNNNNNNNNNNNNNNNNCAAAAAUCUUGAACUCCUUUUAAGAAACUUUUUUGAACCAUUAGAUUAAUAUCUAACGGUGAGUAAUCACAAUCUCUUGGACUCCUGUGGUCCAAGAGAUCAAGACUAUUAAAAAAAGAUAACACGAGCAGUUAUGUUUCAUAAAAGUAGGAUCUAUUAUUUAUUUUAAUUUUUAAUUUUAAUUUAUUUUAAUAUGAAAAAAUAUAAAUUUACUAUAUUAUUCUCAUUUAAUUAAUAAUUUCAAUUCUCAAUUCUUAAUUAUUAUCCUCAUCGAAGUGUUGCCUUGGCUGCUGCUGAAUUGGUUUAUAUAGCUAAAAUGUUUAAAGACAUUGGCUUCUUUCUAGGCACUCCUCCUCUUCUCUGGGUGGACAAUCAACUGCUAUUUCUUUGGCUUCUAAUCGUGUGUUUCAUACCAGGACUAAACACGUGGAGGUUGAUUAUCACUUCACACGAGAAUUGGUGCAAAAUGAUUAAUCAGCUUCCUGACAUUUUUACAAAGUCUCUAUCUUCCUCUCUUUGUGUAUCUUCCAUCCAAGCUUUCAGUUUGUGACACUACCUUCAGCUUGAAGGGGCUGAUAGAUAUAUCUCCACAUCUAAUUCUAGCCUUUCAUUAUAGAGUUGUUAAUUUCUGUUUAGCUUUAUUUUAAUAAAUUGUAAAGCUGUCAUUAAUGUACAUCUAUAUUAUUACAAGUGUAUAUAAACAAUUCAAUGUAAUCAUUAUUGUUUAAUAAAAUGAGAAUACAAUUUUAGUUUUCUCACAAAAUAUUGAAGGAGAAUUAGAAAGUGGAAAAGUCAAGAAGUAGAGGAUUAGUGUCAGGACUUUUAGGCCUGAGGAAACAGUACUGAAGUUGACAAUGAGUAAGAGAUUCUUUGAUAUUAGCAAAACUAACACGACAAACAUGCCAAAUGUUGGGAUUUUGGGUGACUGAUUUUGAAAUUAAAAUGUUGUAGUGGUGACGUUGUCGAAAAUGUUAGGUGAGAGAAGAACAUAUCAUGUAUUCAUUUUCUAGCCAUCUAUAAAUUGUUUUUUUUAAAUAAAAACAUUAACAACAUUACAUGUAAAACUUGACCCCAAAAAUAAAUAAAUAAUUACAUGUAAAACAAUUGAGUGAUGGGGGCCAUUGCAUUAUUCCCCUUUGGAUUUAUGCAUGCAGGAGGAGCUAGUAGGCUUCGCAUUUAUGGGUAGAAUGGACAUUAUUGGACAACCUUAGGUAUGCAUAUAUAGGAAAACGUCCAAAAUCCAUAAAGUUGGGACGUACGUGGUGGUGCAUGCAUGUUGGUAUUUGAUAUUGAUAUUUUAUUCCCACCCAAAAUAUUACAAACGAAUGCAGUCAAAAAAUAACUCAAAACCAGUGCACACUCGCGUCACGUGCUUCUGCAGACACAAACUAGUAAGCAAUUCACAGAGGACAUAGCCACAGAGGGGGAGCAGAUCGAUGCAAAUUAUUAAGUUUUUCUUUAAGCCAAAAAACUCAGCACCGACAUGACUUAAUAAUUAAGAUUACCACAGUAUAUCGAUCUGAUACACUAUCAGAUAAACAAAAAACAAAACAACAAAUUACAGAAAUUGAUCCCUCAAGAAGUAGAUUUCACUUCCAAGCUUUCACAUGCUAUUAAUUAUUAGCUGACACAUAUUAUGCUAAUCAAUUAAACCACAGUGACCACUAAUUGGGAUAUUUAGAACUGUGCUGUGGUGAUGAUCAACUUCAACUAUGCAGGGCACUGGAAUCCAGAGGGUGGAGUUUUCCCACAGUCAAUCAGAACCUGAAGAGCGAUGGGGAUGAUGAUGUUGAUGUUGAGAAGCUUAGCCUUGAUGGUGGUGCAAAGGCAAAUUGCAGCAUCCAAGUCCACCAGCCCUUGAAGCACUGGACAGCAUGCAUCCUUGGCACUGCUGCCAAUUCCAAUGUGAAUGAGGCCACCCAACACAUCCACACAAGCUCCCAACUUGAGAGUGUCGAUGGGACACGUGUUCUUUGGUGGUGAUGGGGUUGGCACUGGUGUUGGUGGUGGUGGAGGAGGACAUGGUGUCUCAGUGGGUGGAGGAGGCUUAACUGGUACAACUGGGGUAGGUGUAGGUGUUGGUGGGCUUGGUGGUACAACAGGUGGUGAUGGUGGUGGCUUAACUGGUACAACUGGGGUAGGUGUUGGUGUUGGUGGGCUUGGUGGUACAACAGGUGGUGAUGGUGGUGGCUUAACUGGUACAACUGGGGGCUUGGGUACAUAGGGUGGUGGGGGUUGUACAACUGGGGGCUUGGGUACAUAUGGUGGUGGUGGUUGUACAACUGGGGGUUUGGGGAUGAAGGGUGGGUGCACAAUUGGGGGUUUAGGGAUAAAAGGUGGGUGCACGAUUGGGGGCUUGGGGAUGAAGGGUGGGUGCACAAUUGGGGGCUUGGGGAUGAAGGGUGGGUGCACAAUUGGGGGUUUAGGGAUGAAGGGUGGGUGCACAAUUGGGGGUUUAGGGAUGAAGGGUGGGUGCACAAUUGGGGGUUUAGGGAUGAAGGGUGGGUGCACAAUUGGGGGCUUGGGGAUGAAGGGUGGGUGCACAAUUGGGGGCUUGGGGUGGGGUGGUGGUUUGACAAUAGGAGGCUUGGGGAUGAAGGGAGGUCUCACAAUAGGUGGUUUGGGGACAGAAGGAGGUUUUGGUAUAUGGGGAGGAUAUACAAUGGGGGGUUUGGGGCCAUGAGGUGGCUUGGGUACAUGGGGUGGAUGAGGAUGAGGUGGCUUUGAUGGUGGCUUGGGAACAUAGGGAGGCUUUACAUGAGGGGGAUGGGGUGGUUUUGAUGGUGGUUUGGGAACAUAGGGAGGCUUUACAUGAGGAGGAAGAGGUGGUUUUGAUGGUGGUUUGGGAACAGAGGGAGGCUUUACAUGAGGGGGAUGAGGUGGGUGUUUAGGUGGUUUAGGGAUGAAGGGUGGCUUUACAUGAGGAGGCUGUUUGGGUGGCAAGUGUGGAGGGUAUGUUGGUGGUGGACAGUAGGAGUUAGCAAGAGAAGUGAGCAAACUACCCAAAUUCACAAUGAGGACUAAGAGCAAAGCCAGGGUAUAAUUCCCCAUGUUCAAAACUCCACAACCCUCAAAAGAGUUGG